GGAUUAGAUACCCUGGUAGUCCACGCCGUAAACGAUGAGUACUAGUUAUUAGAGGUAUUGACCCCUUUAGUGACGCAGCUAACGCAUUAAGUACUCCGCCUGGGAAGUACGGUCGCAAGACUAAAACUCAAAGGAAUUGACGGGGGCCCGCACAAGCGGUGGAUUAUGUGGUUUAAUUCGAAGCAACGCGCAGAACCUUACCUAGGCUUGAAAUCCUCAGAAUUCCGAGUAAUGUUGGAAGUGCCCGCAAGGGAAUUGAGUGACAGGUGCUGCAUGGCUGUCGUCAGCUCGUGCCG
Molecule: ribosomal RNA, 296 nt
Filed under: uncultured bacterium
Lineage: Bacteria
Description: partial 16S ribosomal RNA
Rfam family: Bacterial small subunit ribosomal RNA
Source: RNAcentral